AGCACGAAUAGUAGAACUUCACAAGGUAAUGGUUCCAGUAAUUGUUCUGUCUUCCCCACUGGAUUUUGAACUCCUGAAGGAGGAGAGAACACACAGGGACACAUGGACAGAAGACCAAGUGAAGAUGGAGGCAGAUAUUGGAGUGAUACAGCUACAA
Molecule: long non-coding RNA, 157 nt
Organism: Eubalaena glacialis (North Atlantic right whale)
Lineage: Eukaryota; Metazoa; Chordata; Mammalia; Artiodactyla; Balaenidae
Exons: 3
Source: RefSeq, a predicted model, not a curated record